AGGGUUUGAUCAUGGCUCAGGAUGAACGCUAGCGGCAGGCUUAACACAUGCAAGUCGAGGGGUAUAGUUCUUCGGAGCUAGAGACCGGCGCACGGGUGCGUAACGCGUAUGCAAUCUACCUUUUACAGAGGGAUAGCCCAGAGAAAUUUGGAUUAAUACCUCAUAGUAUGUGAGAAUCGCAUGGUUUUCACAUUAAAGUCACAACGGUAAAAGAUGAGCAUGCGUCCCAUUAGCUUGUUGGUAAGGUAACGGCUUACCAAGGCAACGAUGGGUAGGGGUCCUGAGAGGGAGAUCCCCCACACUGGUACUGAGACACGGACCAGACUCCUACGGGAGGCAGCAGUGAGGAAUAUUGGACAAUGGGCGCAAGCCUGAUCCAGCCAUGCCGCGUGCAGGAUGACGGUCCUAUGGAUUGUAAACUGCUUUUGUACAGGAAGAAACACUCCCUCGUGAGGGAGCUUGACGGUACUGUAAGAAUAAGGAUCGGCUAACUCCGUGCCAGCAGCCGCGGUAAUACGGAGGAUCCAAGCGUUAUCCGGAAUCAUUGGGUUUAAAGGGUCCGUAGGCGGUUUAAUAAGUCAGUGGUGAAAGCCCAUCGCUCAACGGUGGAACGGCCAUUGAUACUGUUAAACUUGAAUUAUUAGGAAGUAACUAGAAUAUGUAGUGUAGCGGUGAAAUGCUUAGAGAUUACAUGGAAUACCAAUUGCGAAGGCAGGUUACUACUAAUGGAUUGACGCUGAUGGACGAAAGCGUGGGUAGCGAACAGGAUUAGAUACCCUGGUAGUCCACGCCGUAAACGAUGGAUACUAGCUGUUGGGAGCAAUCUCAGUGGCUAAGCGAAAGUGAUAAGUAUCCCACCUGGGGAGUACGUUCGCAAGAAUGAAACUCAAAGGAAUUGACGGGGGCCCGCACAAGCGGUGGAUUAUGUGGAUUAAUUCGAUGCAACGCGAAAAACCUUACCUGGCCUUGACAUGUACCGAAUUUAGCAGAGAUGCUUUAGUGCUCGUAAGAGAACGGUAACACAGGUGCUGCAUGGCUGUCGUCAGCUCGUGUCGUGAGAUGUUGGGUUAAGUCCCGCAACGAGCGCAACCCUUGCCAUUAAUUGCCAUCAUUUAGUUGGGCACUUUAAUGGGACUGCCGGUGACAAACCGGAGGAAGGUGGGGAUGACGUCAAGUCCUCAUGGCCCUUAUGGCCAGGGCUUCACACGUAAUACAAUGGUCGGUACAGAGGGCUGCUAACCCGCGAGGGGGUGCCAAUCUCAGAAAACCGAUCGUAGUCCGGAUUGUUGUCUGCAACUCGACAGCAUGAAGUCGGAAUCGCUAGUAAUCGCGGAUCAGAAUGUCGCGGUGAAUACGUUCCCGGGCCUUGUACACACCGCCCGUCACACCAUGGGAGUGGGUUUUACCAGAAGU
This 1413-nucleotide ribosomal RNA is filed under the name uncultured bacterium. RNAcentral's name for it is "bacterial SSU rRNA". It matches the Rfam family "Bacterial small subunit ribosomal RNA". The record is from RNAcentral.